UCCUGCCCUAAACGAUGUCCACUAGGUCGAGGUUCUCUGACGGAGUUUCGGCCGAAACAAAAGCGUUAAGUGGACCGCCUGGGGAGUACGGUCGCAAGGCUAAAACUCAAAGGAAUUGACGGGGGCUCACACAAGCGGUGGAGCAUGUGCUUAAUUCGAUACAACGCGAAGAACCUUAUCCUGGGCUUGACAUGCAGGAUACCCCCUGGAAACAGGGUUGGUUGCCU
RNAcentral lists this ribosomal RNA (227 nucleotides) under uncultured bacterium. RNAcentral's name for it is "partial 16S ribosomal RNA". It matches the Rfam family "Bacterial small subunit ribosomal RNA", at positions 795 to 1021 of the family's 1533-position model. The record is from RNAcentral.